AUGAUGGACUAUAGGACAGGACUGCUGCUUUUAACUCUCUACUGGGCAGGUGUUGAUGGUCAGACUCUGACAGAAUCUGAACCAGUGGUUAAGAGGCCUGGAGAAUCCCACAGACUGACCUGUACAGCCUCUGGAUUGUCAAUCAGUAGCAACUGGAUGGCUUGGGUCAGACAGGCUGCUGGAAAAGGCCUAGAAUGGAUAACAGCUGAAACCAACGGUGGUAGCACCAACUACUACUCUCAGUCAGUCCAAGGCCGGUUUACUGUCUCCAGAGACAAUAACAGACAGCAGCUGUAUCUGCAGAUGAACAGUCUGAAGACUGAUGAUUCUGCUGUUUAUUAUUGUGCUCGAUUCUCACAGUGA
This is a non-coding RNA of Seriola aureovittata, 363 nucleotides long. The record is from the annotation of a RefSeq genome assembly. NCBI's taxonomy places the organism in Eukaryota, Metazoa, Chordata, Actinopteri, Carangiformes, Carangidae.